GGGGUCUUAACUGAGGCUCAAAAGGUUGGCACAAGCUGGAUGACUUAUUGAAAAUGUUACUGUUUUGGACAGCAAUGAGAAGGCAGCUCUUUUUCAUUUUUUAUAGCUCUUUUAACACACUGUUGCACACAUGCAAAAACACACACUUGCUCACACAUAAAAAGAGUGAGAGAGGGUGAGAUGUUGGAUCAAACAGACUCAUUUGGCCUUGAUACUAAAGAGUCCUCUUAUCUUAAAACAGCCAUUUAGUGUUAAUUAAUCCUUUUGACUGAAACCUCCCCCUACAACACAUUCUCUUUGGUUGUUAGGCUUUUAUGCUUAAAGUGCUCACACCACCUCAGAAAGCCAAAUUGGGAAAAAAAAAAAAAAUCCCAAAAUCUGAUUGGACCACCACUGCCUUUCCUCUCUGUAUCCAUCUGGAACACAGAUUAGUUUUUAUGUCGUUUUGCUUUCAAACUUAAAUGAAAUAAUAUAUCAGUGAUGAAGGGAAUUGUGCACUUUCUCUUCAACUUUGCAGCAUUAUACUUUAAGCUGCCAAGCUGUAAACCUUUAAGGUAGUUAUACCACAGACAAACACAUAAAUAGCCAACAGAAUUAAGUUUUCUCUGUUGGAACAGCAGUUUAUCUACAGCUGAGAAGAAGAAGUUGGACAAGUUCAUUAGGAAGUCCAGCUCUGUCCUAGGAUGCCCCCUCACCCCAGUGCAGGUGGUUGGAGACAGAAGAACUUUGGCAAAAGUGACAUCACUUGUGGACAGUGUCUCCCACCCCUGGCAUGAUGCUGUAGAAGAACUCCAGAGCCCCUUUCAACAACAGACUGCUGGAUCCUAGGUGCACAAAGCUUUAUCGCAGGUCCUUCUUCCCAGCAGCUGUUAGGCUUUAUAACCAUCACCACUCCCAACAAACACAAUAAGUCGUUUAUAGUAUAGUAAUAUUAGUUGUUUAUGUCCCUGCUCUUAUUUGUACAGUUUUUCCAUUUUCUGUUUGUAAUAAUUUUUUACAUUUUUAAUAACUUAACAAUUGUACAGUAUUGUUUUUAUUUUUUUUUAAUCCGCAUGCUCCAACUGUCUGUCACUUUCCUCCUGGAACAUCUGAAUUUCCCCAAUGAGGGACAAUAAAGGUAAUUUCUAUUCUAUUCUAUUUCCUGGCAGUGCUACUUCCUUGCUGAAAGCACAAACUGCUCUUCAAUAGGUUUCUCUUGCUCUUUCUGUUUUUUGCUUUUGAUACUGUUCACCACACCACCCUGUCUGAAAGGCAGUCUUUCUUUUGUCAUUUAGCUUUUUCUUCUAUAAUUGUCAUUGCAGCUUUCAUCAAACCCAUGCGAUCCUUAUUGCUUUGACUUAAUGUUCUGAUGGCCAGCUGGUAAGUUGUUAGACCACUGUUGUUGUCAUGAUAAAAAGAAAUAUUCAGCAGUCAAUACCCAGAAAAAAACUUACCUUAGCAUUUUUUUUUUCAAUAUCACACAGUUUGCACUUAUCAUCCCUCAAAAAAUACAGCUUUGAGUUUU
This is a long non-coding RNA of Astatotilapia calliptera (eastern happy), 1504 nucleotides long. Lineage: Eukaryota; Metazoa; Chordata; Actinopteri; Cichliformes; Cichlidae. The record is from Ensembl.